Molecule: long non-coding RNA, 2190 nt
Filed under: Scophthalmus maximus (turbot)
Lineage: Eukaryota; Metazoa; Chordata; Actinopteri; Pleuronectiformes; Scophthalmidae
Description: lncRNA (ENSSMAG00000037591.1)
Source: RNAcentral
GGGACACGCUGCUCGCACAUUUGCACACGUGUACAUGCAGACAGGCAGACAGACAGGCAGGCAGACAGACAGACAGACAGACAGGCAGACAGGCACGCACGCACGAACACACUGAGGAAAGUGACGACAGAGCAGGAUCUAAUUUCACAUCAGCUCGGAGUCCCGAGUUGUGCAGCGGGUGUGAGAGGAGCCGCUCGGUGUUUGUUGAUCCUCUCACCACCAUAUCACCUACAGCGCUGACCUCUCCCCUAAAACUGAUCAUGGACCCGUCUUUGCGCAGACUCCGAUUCCAAUUUCAUUGUCUCCGAGGGCAGCAGAUAAACCCGGGCUUGAACCAGUGAUGCCCCCCCGGGUGGAGGCACGCAGUGCACCACCGAAACUGAAAAGACCACAUUCACUCAGGGCAAUAGCUGUUCAACAUCCGAGGCUGCGACCCCGGCGUUGCUGGGGGAGUCUGAUCGGAGCGGUACCGGCUACAUCUAUACAUCUCUGCCUCCCCGCCAGGCCAGGAAGAGUCACAGACCAUUUCACUCGGGUAUUAAUGACCAACAACAGCCCAACUGCCUCUAAAACUAGAGUAUAUGAAACCCAUGAAAGCAUAUACACACACACACACACACACACACAGAGAGAGAGAGAGAGAGAGGCUGGGAGGAGGAAGGGGGUGUGGAGGGCAAGAUGCCAAGGCAAAGAGAAAUGAGGUGUGGGAAAGGCGAGGUAGAGGGAAAAAAACAAAGAGUCAAAAACAGAAAGUAGAUAAAGAUUGAGCGAUUCGAAAGGGCAUGUACUGUACAGGAUCACGAGCCGGAGAAAUAAACAACUGUCAAGGACUACACUCGCCAGCGACCUGGGGGUGCCAGUGGAAAUAUGAGGGGAAAACAAAGAUGGUGCAGCAUCAUUUAUGCAAACUCAGUUUACCGGCCUUCAGCAAAUGGAUGAUACAGAGGUCACCGGGUCUGUCAAGGGCAAGAAAAGAGAAGUUAGGUCCUCUAUUUGUUGAGAUUGGAGAAUGAAAUGAAGGCCUAUUUACGUAUCUACUAAGCUUUGAACGACAUUCUGGCAUCAUCUUUUUAUGUCGAUUUAUUGUUAUUUAAUUAACAGUUUACAGUUCAAUUCGGGUUUUUUGCUUGUUUAAACGAUGCUGACCAUAAAAAAUUCUCCCAAAAUUUCUGUGCGAAAUAAAACAGCAGUAUUUCAUAACUCAGUCAUGUUGCAGUUUGUCUUUCUUCAGAGGACUUGAUUAUAUGUUUCACAGUGGAGAUGGCUAGGUUAACGCAAAGUGCAUCCUGAACAAUGCAUUAUUAAUAUUUUAUUUUAUGAGCGGGGAAAAGAUUGUAGCAGAUUAGUAUCUUAUCGGUAUCGGUACUCAAGGUUGCAGGAUCCGUAUCGGAUCGAACACGAGAAAAAUUGGUAAUGUCCCGUCCCUAGAUCUUACAAACCACAGCGAAUAAGUGAUCAAUUAAACCACAGAUUAGUUUGAUAAAAUAAUAAUUUGUUACAGCCCUAUACUAACUGAUUUCCCCCCCCCAAAGUAGCGGUGUAAAAAAAAAAAAGCUUAAGGAGAGCUUGCUCAGGAUACUGCAGAUACAGACAGGAUGUGCAGUAUAUAUUAGAGGACAGACCUAUCAAUCAGCUACACGACAUAUGUCGGAGUGGCGUGCAGACAUCAGUGACAGUGCCGAUCAGUCAGCGUGAGCACGUGCAAAGUGUCGAGCUCCCGGCUCACAUCUUUCAGACGUCUCUCCUUGAUGUCCGGCCGAGAGGUCAGGAUCAGAGAGAGAGAUGAAGGCACCGUUUAAUCAGUGCCUCGCUGCUGGAGCGCCGGCCUCUGACCUCUGACCCCGACCGCAUGACCCUGCCCUCCAGCCGUUCUGCCGCUCACGGGCAGACUCAAAGGGGCUGCCGGUAUUGUCGUCGGGGGGGGCAUCGCCAAAAGAGCUGAGGGGUCGACGGGAGCUGGAGGACACAUCAGAGGCGUGACGGCCCCCUGCCGGGCCGAGCUCGUCCCCUCAGGUGCAGCGCAGGCGGGACCCUGCCCCCAUAUCCACAUCUUCACCACAUGGAUGUGAGGAGAUUCAACACAAUCGUGGCUUUACAUUAUUCAUGACACUCUUCCAUAUUUUGGAUAUAUCUUAAUAUAUAUGAUAUGUUUUUGUUUGUGAGUUUGUCUUGAUGCUCACUAUACAGUAG